This 2790-nucleotide ribosomal RNA is filed under the name Klebsiella pneumoniae. Its description in RNAcentral is "partial 23S ribosomal RNA". It matches the Rfam family "Bacterial large subunit ribosomal RNA". The record is from RNAcentral. Lineage: Bacteria; Pseudomonadati; Pseudomonadota; Gammaproteobacteria; Enterobacterales; Enterobacteriaceae.
GGUUAAGCGACUAAGCGUACACGGUGGAUGCCCUGGCAGUCAGAGGCGAUGAAGGACGUGCUAAUCUGCGAAAAGCGUCGGUAAGGUGAUAUGAACCGUUAUAACCGGCGAUGUCCGAAUGGGGAAACCCAGUGUGAUUCGUCACACUAUCGUUAACUGAAUACAUAGGUUAACGAGGCGAACCGGGGGAACUGAAACAUCUAAGUACCCCGAGGAAAAGAAAUCAACCGAGAUUCCCCCAGUAGCGGCGAGCGAACGGGGAGCAGCCCAGAGUCUGAAUCAGCUUGUGUGUUAGUGGAACGGUCUGGAAAGUCCGACGGUACAGGGUGAUAGUCCCGUACACCAAAAUGCACAGGCUGUGAACUCGAAGAGUAGGGCGGGACACGUGGUAUCCUGUCUGAAUAUGGGGGGACCAUCCUCCAAGGCUAAAUACUCCUGACUGACCGAUAGUGAACCAGUACCGUGAGGGAAAGGCGAAAAGAACCCCGGCGAGGGGAGUGAAAAAGAACCUGAAACCGUGUACGUACAAGCAGUGGGAGCACCUUCGGGUGUGACUGCGUACCUUUUGUAUAAUGGGUCAGCGACUUAUAUUCUGUAGCAAGGUUAACCGUAUAGGGGAGCCGCAGGGAAACCGAGUCUUAACUGGGCGUUAAGUUGCAGGGUAUAGACCCGAAACCCGGUGAUCUAGCCAUGGGCAGGUUGAAGGUUGGGUAACACUAACUGGAGGACCGAACCGACUAAUGUUGAAAAAUUAGCGGAUGACUUGUGGCUGGGGGUGAAAGGCCAAUCAAACCGGGAGAUAGCUGGUUCUCCCCGAAAGCUAUUUAGGUAGCGCCUCGUGAAUUCAUCUUCGGGGGUAGAGCACUGUUUCGGCUAGGGGGUCAUCCCGACUUACCAACCCGAUGCAAACUACGAAUACCGAAGAAUGUUAUCACGGGAGACACACGGCGGGUGCUAACGUCCGUCGUGAAGAGGGAAACAACCCAGACCGCCAGCUAAGGUCCCAAAGUCAUGGUUAAGUGGGAAACGAUGUGGGAAGGCACAGACAGCCAGGAUGUUGGCUUAGAAGCAGCCAUCAUUUAAAGAAAGCGUAAUAGCUCACUGGUCGAGUCGGCCUGCGCGGAAGAUGUAACGGGGCUAAACCAUGCACCGAAGCUGCGGCAGCGACACUAUGUGUUGUUGGGUAGGGGAGCGUUCUGUAAGCCUGCGAAGGUGUGCUGUGAGGCAUGCUGGAGGUAUCAGAAGUGCGAAUGCUGACAUAAGUAACGAUAAAGCGGGUGAAAAGCCCGCUCGCCGGAAGACCAAGGGUUCCUGUCCAACGUUAAUCGGGGCAGGGUGAGUCGACCCCUAAGGCGAGGCCGAAAGGCGUAGUCGAUGGGAAACAGGUUAAUAUUCCUGUACUUGGUGUUACUGCGAAGGGGGGACGGAGAAGGCUAUGUUAGCCGGGCGACGGUUGUCCCGGUUUAAGCAUGUAGGCUGGUUGUCCAGGCAAAUCCGGAUAAUCAAGGCUGAGGUGUGAUGACGAGGCACUACGGUGCUGAAGUAACAAAUGCCCUGCUUCCAGGAAAAGCCUCUAAGCAUCAGGUAACAUCAAAUCGUACCCCAAACCGACACAGGUGGUCAGGUAGAGAAUACCAAGGCGCUUGAGAGAACUCGGGUGAAGGAACUAGGCAAAAUGGUGCCGUAACUUCGGGAGAAGGCACGCUGGUGUGUAGGUGAAGUCCCUGCGGAUGGAGCUGAGACCAGUCGAAGAUACCAGCUGGCUGCAACUGUUUAUUAAAAACACAGCACUGUGCAAACACGAAAGUGGACGUAUACGGUGUGACGCCUGCCCGGUGCCGGAAGGUUAAUUGAUGGGGUUAUCCGUAAGGAGAAGCUCUUGAUCGAAGCCCCGGUAAACGGCGGCCGUAACUAUAACGGUCCUAAGGUAGCGAAAUUCCUUGUCGGGUAAGUUCCGACCUGCACGAAUGGCGUAAUGAUGGCCAGGCUGUCUCCACCCGAGACUCAGUGAAAUUGAACUCGCUGUGAAGAUGCAGUGUACCCGCGGCAAGACGGAAAGACCCCGUGAACCUUUACUAUAGCUUGACACUGAACAUUGAGCCUUGAUGUGUAGGAUAGGUGGGAGGCUUUGAAGCGUGGACGCCAGUCUGCGUGGAGCCAACCUUGAAAUACCACCCUUUAAUGUUUGAUGUUCUAACGUUGGCCCCUGACCGGGGUUGCGGACAGUGUCUGGUGGGUAGUUUGACUGGGGCGGUCUCCUCCCAAAGCGUAACGGAGGAGCACGAAGGUUAGCUAAUCCUGGUCGGACAUCAGGAGGUUAGUGCAAUGGCAUAAGCUAGCUUGACUGCGAGCGUGACGGCGCGAGCAGGUGCGAAAGCAGGUCAUAGUGAUCCGGUGGUUCUGAAUGGAAGGGCCAUCGCUCAACGGAUAAAAGGUACUCCGGGGAUAACAGGCUGAUACCGCCCAAGAGUUCAUAUCGACGGCGGUGUUUGGCACCUCGAUGUCGGCUCAUCACAUCCUGGGGCUGAAGUAGGUCCCAAGGGUAUGGCUGUUCGCCAUUUAAAGUGGUACGCGAGCUGGGUUUAGAACGUCGUGAGACAGUUCGGUCCCUAUCUGCCGUGGGCGCUGGAGAAUUGAGGGGGGCUGCUCCUAGUACGAGAGGACCGGAGUGGACGCAUCACUGGUGUUCGGGUUGUCAUGCCAAUGGCACUGCCCGGUAGCUAAAUGCGGAAGAGAUAAGUGCUGAAAGCAUCUAAGCACGAAACUUGCCCCGAGAUGAGUUCUCCCUGA